Molecule: long non-coding RNA, 1879 nt
Filed under: Dendronephthya gigantea
Lineage: Eukaryota; Metazoa; Cnidaria; Anthozoa; Malacalcyonacea; Nephtheidae
Description: uncharacterized LOC114522267
Source: RNAcentral
GAAUAUUCAUGUACAUUAUAUAAGUGUGGCAUUUUUUGGAAGAAUAGGAAGAUGUAAAGUAAGGAUAGGAAUGUGUAAAGCAAGGACGUGCAGAAACAUGUAAAGUAAAGACAGGAACAAUGGAACAUGUAAAGUAGUCAAUCAGGAAUGUGUAAAGUAAGGACAGGAAUGUGUGAAGUAAAGACAUGCAGGAACAUGUAAAUCGCUAGAUAUAAUGACGGAGUGGAAAAUCACAGUAGUUAACAAAACAGGAGAAGAUUCAGCCUCUGGUGAGGGAAGUAUUGUGAAGUUUGCACUUUUCCAAGUACCAUCAGAAAAGGAUGAGACGAAUACCUAUCCUUGUGCUUGGGUUGUCGAUAAGGUUGCAUAUCCUGGGGAAAUUCAUGAUAUCACAUUACCCAAUGAAUUUGAGUUGGCAAUCGUAGAUGAAGUAAAUGGUAGCGAGCGAAUAACUGGCCCUUUUCCAGUUUCGUCUGGUAAAGAGGUUUACAUAACCCAAAAGAGUCGCGACGAUCCGCCGAGUCAUGAAAUAAAAGAGGGUAAAGCACUCGACGACGACACGGCGCCCAUGAUUCAGGUGUUUAACAACCAGGGAAACAUUCAGCCUCUCACAAUGGUUCUGUACAAGAAGCAGAAGAAAUUGAUAAUGUCCGAUAAAGUUGUUCCUGGAAGCUCCGUGAAUAUGAGCGUAAAACAACAGAUAAAUAUUCAUGACGCUGGCAGCACAAAUGAUAUUAACGAAGGUGACUCGUUGAAAGACCAAGGCAUAAUUACAUCCUCCACUAUGUUCAAGUUAUUACCCUCAACUCCUAGGAUCACGAUAGAUGUACAUCGAGGACCAACUGGUCAACUUUCUUUUAACUUGAGCCCCUUGUGACUUAGUAAGGGUCUCAAUAAGAACUUUGAAGAGAAUACAUAAAAUGAGAUUUCCUGCCAUUUGAGGAUAGCAUUUUUCUACGAUUUUUGAACGACGUAAAUUUAUCGUUAAAUAAUAAAUAUAAAUCGUUUCAACAUUAGUUUCUUUUCCCUAUUUUGGGGUCCAGAAAACCUGGGCAAAUUGCCCCUUGAUCUCUCCUGUGGGCGCCCCUUAGCAAUAGUCAGGAUUUAGUGAAAUGCCAUUCGAUAUCUAUGAGUGCUUGUGUGUGACUACAAGUCAGUAGUCUUGCUUGCUUCAAUAAAUUUACACGUAGUAAGUUUACAGUUGUUUGGAAAUCUUUUCACGUUCUGGUUUAGUUUGCUAUAGUUUUCAUUCGGUCGCUGCCGACAAGUGAUAGAUCGGUCAUAGACUAAAAGUGUUUCAUUAUAUCUCUUGGAUUAAUUUGCAUACCUCAGAAGGAAUCAAGAUAAACUUAACCACCACUGGUCACUGUAGUGACAGGUAGUGACUAAAUAACUUUAGUUUGUGUUUGAAUGUGGUACUUCUACAUGUUUAUUAGCACAUUAGCAAGGAAAUGACCAUUUGAGUUACAAGAAUAGGUCCGCCAAGGGUACAUGUAUCUGCGCAUGCUUGCAUAUAUCAUUUUGUACCACUGAGCUAUAUUUAAAUUCCUGGAAUUUAAUAGCUCAGUGGUUUGUACUCUACUGUGCUACUGUAAUUCAGUUUACAAGCCACGAUGUGUCACAAUCUGAGAGAUGAUUAUUCAUAUUUCCACCCAAUUUAUUCCACAUUUUUUGCAAAUAAACAGUAAAAUGAUCAUGUUAAAGAUAUUAUUCGUUUAUUUGUUGAUAUUGAAGAAGUACAAAAAGCUAGAACCCCUGUAAUGAUGGCAUCGUACGAUUCCUUCGUCCAAUGAAACCACCCUGGAAAACAAACUUUGACCUCAAAUACCGGGGAAUGAUCCCUAUGUCCACACAACCUCGGACUCCGGGUACAAGCUUG